RNAcentral lists this ribosomal RNA (468 nucleotides) under uncultured bacterium. Its description in RNAcentral is "partial 16S ribosomal RNA". It matches the Rfam family "Bacterial small subunit ribosomal RNA", at positions 28 to 507 of the family's 1533-position model. The record is from RNAcentral.
GACGAACGCUGGCGGCGUGCUUAACACAUGCAAGUCGAACGGAAAGGCCCUGCUUUUGUGGGGUGCUCGAGUGGCGAACGGGUGAGUAACACGUGAGUAACCUGCCCUUGACUUUGGGAUAACUUCAGGAAACUGGGGCUAAUACCGGAUAGGAGCUCCUGCUGCAUGGUGGGGGUUGGAAAGUUUCGGCGGUUGGGGAUGGACUCGCGGCUUAUCAGCUUGUUGGUGGGGUAGUGGCUUACCAAGGCUUUGACGGGUAGCCGGCCUGAGAGGGGGACCGGACACAUUGGGACUGAGAUACGGCCCAGACCCCUACGGGAGGCAGCAGUGGGGAAUAUUGCACAAUGGGCGGAAGCCUGAUGCAGCAACGCCGCGUGCGGGAUGACGGCCUUCGGGUUGUAAACCGCUUUCGCCUGUGACGAAGCGUGAGUGACGGUAAUGGGUAAAGAAGCACCGGCUAACUACGUG